GAGGGUUGCUGCGUUGUUGUCGCAACUGGAAUGUCUAUUCGCGAUUGAAACUGUAGCGGUACGGCAGCGUCUGCAGCAGGUUGAUCUAAAUAAGGUGCUUGGUCCAUUUCCGUUGGAAAAUGCUGUAAUAAUAAAAUUUUGGAAGUUUUAACCAAGGCCCCGCAGUCCACCAAUGGACACCAAAGGCUUACCAGCCGGAAGUAUCUCGAUGCCGGGUGCCGACUUCUGAACGGGUGUGCCACGGCAAACGGCAACGAAUGUAAGCAACGCCACGAUGAUGGGCAAACAACAAAUGAUUCCUCUCACGUGGGAGCGCAUGUUGAUGGACAGACAGCAGCAGCACUCUGGGUCGAAACGUUGUAACUGAAUGAUCACGUUUCUGAUUCGAUGCGGAACCGAACAUCCCGAUCGGGUCUCGAUUUAAACCGAUUGAUCUCCUAAUGGUGGGGAACCGGGGGUGCUAAACCGGUUAUACAUUUUGUCAAUGGGCAUGCGACCAAACAAAACACCGCCCGACGACUGAUGGCGGGGACUUAAACGGUUUUGUGGGCUAAAGUCUUCUGUCCGAGAAGAGAUACCAGUAGAACCAGUUUGAUAAGAUAAAAACAAUACAGACUGAACUUGACGUCACUGUCCCAUAUGCCUGAAUGCCAAUCUGCAUAGGAAUUGUUCCAUUACCGUGUGUGUGCUCCAAAAUUCGACGCCAAAAUAUAUGCGUUUCAAGAUCACUCGGAGGCCCUCGAACGAUGUUUUCACAGACGCAAGAUGAUUAGCAUCAAAUCUCAAUACAAGAUCAAAUCUUUGAUCCACUCCACGAAUGCGGAUGCAGUCAGUGUCCUCUUGAUUAAGGUUGAUCUAAACGAGAUGAACGAUCCGAACGCGGGCCAAAAACCAUCCGACUGACGAACAG
Long non-coding RNA from Anopheles merus, 910 nucleotides. RefSeq lists it as uncharacterized. The record is from RefSeq and is a predicted model, not a curated record. The transcript has 4 exons. Lineage: Eukaryota; Metazoa; Arthropoda; Insecta; Diptera; Culicidae.